Molecule: ribosomal RNA, 540 nt
Filed under: uncultured archaeon
Lineage: Archaea
Description: bacterial SSU rRNA
Rfam family: Archaeal small subunit ribosomal RNA
Source: RNAcentral
UUCGCCCUUUUCCGGUUGAUCCUGCCGGAGGCUACUGCUAUCGGGAUUCGAUUAAGCCAUGCGAGUCGAGAGGGUUCGGCCCUCGGCUGACUGCUCAGUAACACGUGGAUAACUUGCCCUCAGGUAGGGGAUAAUCUCGGGAAACUGAGGAUAAUACCCUAUAGACAUCCUUUGCUGGAACGCUUGGAUGUUCAAAGGUAACGCCUGAGGAUAGGUCCGCGGCCUAUCAGGUUGUAGUGGGUGUAAUGGACCCACUAGCCCGCGACGGGUACGGGCCUUGAAAGAGGUAGCCCGGAGAUGGACUCUGAGACACGAGUCCAGGCCCUACGGGGCGCAGCAGGCGCGAAAACUUCGCAAUGCGGGAAACCGUGACGAGGGAAUCCCGAGUGCUCAUACAAUGUAUGGGCUUUUCUUAUGUGUAAAUAGCAUGAGGAAUAAGGGCUGGGUAAGACCGGUGCCAGCCGCCGCGGUAAUACCGGCAGCUCUAGUGGUAGCCACUUUUAUUGGGCCUAAAGCGUCCGUAGCCGGUCAGGUAAAUCC